Molecule: ribosomal RNA, 316 nt
Filed under: uncultured bacterium
Lineage: Bacteria
Description: bacterial SSU rRNA
Rfam family: Bacterial small subunit ribosomal RNA
Source: RNAcentral
GAUGAACGCUAGCUACAGGCUUAACACAUGCAAGUCGAGGGGCAUCGGGAAGAAAGCUUGCUUUCUUUGCCGGCGACCGGCGCACGGGUGAGUAACACGUAUCCAACCUGCCCUUUACUCGGGGAUAGCCUUUCGAAAGAAAGAUUAAUACCCGAUAGCAUAAUGAUUCCGCAUGGUUUCAUUAUUAAAGGAUUCCGGUAAAGGAUGGGGAUGCGUUCCAUUAGGUUGUUGGUGAGGUAACGGCCCACCAAGCCUUCGAUGGAUACGGGGUUCUGAGAGGAACGGUCCCCCACAUUGGAACUGAGACACGGUCCAA